UGUGGGUGGAAGAAAGAUGAGUGGUGGUGCCUUCAGUAAAUUGCUUAAUCGUCUUGCUGCUCAAGGUUAUGACCUGUCUAUUCCACUUGACCUGAAGGAUCAUUGGGCUAAACAUGGCACAAACCGCUACAGCACAUUGAAAUAGCUUCUGUGUGCAUGUUGGAUUGGGACCUCACAAUAUAGAGAAGGCAUUGUCGGAAAAUGUGUGUUGUGGAUGAAAGAAAGUGUACUUUAAUACUGUGCAGGAGAUAUACCACUAAUAGCUAUUCAUUCACAUUUUUUGAGCUCUGUCUCUGUCUCAGAGUUCCAAUUCAUCUUUAUCAGAACGGCCACAUAUCAUGUACUGUACUUUUGCUUUCUUCAAUGUACGUUUAAUGAAUAUGGUGAUUUGG
Molecule: unclassified non-coding RNA, 392 nt
Filed under: Hevea brasiliensis (rubber tree)
Lineage: Eukaryota; Viridiplantae; Streptophyta; Magnoliopsida; Malpighiales; Euphorbiaceae
Source: RNAcentral